GCCCCAGUUUUUGUUAAACUUUAUAUUUUUGUUGAAGAAAUAUGGAUACAAAUUUUUUAGUUGAAUUGAGGAUUCAUGUUCUAGUCUUUUUUGAUUUCAGUCUCUUUUUGUUAAUCUGUUAAAGCAUUUUGUUCUUAAAAUUUUAUCAUCGUUUAUAACAGACUUCCCAUUCUUAAACAUAAUAGUUAAGUAAGGAUGAUAAGUUUUGGUAAGUGCCAUAUAGAGAUCAGCAGCCAAAUUAAAGUAUU
This 248-nucleotide long non-coding RNA is filed under the name Elaeis guineensis (African oil palm). Its description in RNAcentral is "long non-coding RNA (EGUI_LNC073458)". The record is from RNAcentral. Lineage: Eukaryota; Viridiplantae; Streptophyta; Magnoliopsida; Arecales; Arecaceae.